RNAcentral lists this long non-coding RNA (561 nucleotides) under Androctonus crassicauda. The record is from RNAcentral. Lineage: Eukaryota; Metazoa; Arthropoda; Arachnida; Scorpiones; Buthidae.
AACACCAGGACACUCAUGCAUUCAAGAGGUGAAUAACAUUCAUUCGAAUAUCGAAAAAGCUCUGAAAAUUUCAGAAGUUUGGUCUCCAGUCUCUCUAAUAAGAUUGCUUUUGUUUUGCAACAGAAAAUCCUCUUAUGAUGUAAUUCAAAUGAAGGCUACUGAUUUCCGUGACUACCACACUCCAAGCAAAGUAUUUGCGUACUGUAAAAUACCAUAUACAAAAGGUAGCUCAAUUGAAAUUUUCAUCACAUGAUCCACUUACUGUUUAUUUUAAAAAUAGCCAUGGCAGUCAGACAUGGUUAAAGAAAAUUUAUUAAAAGGAAGAACCACAAGGAACAAAAUGCAACAGCAUCCAAAUAUUUUUGAGACUUACCUCCCAGAAGCAAACGUUUCUUUACAAAAUAACAGGAUAUGUCAAGAGAAGGUAAAAGAUAUCAAAUCAAUGAUGAAAUGGGUGCCUACUGUUGAUGUAGAGUUCUAUAAAACAGUUUUAUGCAAAACUUAGAACUCUAUGAAUCUGUAAUAUUGAAGGAUGUUCAGAACCAAAAGGUUCUAUGUACA